CGUGGCCGGUCGAAACCUCAACCCGUCCAGGGGAACAUGUUUUAGGGCUGGGGGUUGAAAUUGUCUCCUUUCCCUUUUACUUUUUCCAAAAUCGUAAAAUGUAUUUUUCAGGGUUUUUUCUUGGGGUUUUCCUCAUUUUCCUGUCCUCCGCACCAGGAGGAUUUUCAGACGACAUCCUCGGCUGCAACGGUUUCGUUAAAAGCCAUGUAGAUAUUAAUUACUCACUGGUGGAAAUUAAGUUGUUUACAAAACAAGGUAGCCUUAAAGAUCAUACGGAUUGUGCACCCAACAACGGUUACUAUUUUUUACCAAUUUACGAUAAAGGAGAGUACGUAUUGAAAAUUUCUCCUCCCGACGGCUGGUAUUUCGAACCGUCUGAAGUGCCAGUGACAAUCGAUGGGGCCACUGAUCCUUGCAGUACUGGUAAAGACAUAAAUUUUACCUUUAAAGGUUUUGCUAUAAUUGGACAGGUUGUUAGCUGGGGGCAUAAAGUCGGCCCAGUUGGCGUUACAGUUGAGCUCUUCAGCAAUUCUUCUAAUUCUCCUACUUCAUUAAUUCAAACGACAACUACUAGAGAAGGUGGUGAAUUUAGAUUUUCACCCAUCACCUCUGGAAAAUAUAAAAUAAAAAUUUCACACCCAAGAUGGAAAGUGAAAGCAAAGGAAGUUGACAUUGAAGUAAAUAAUAGUAAUGGUUUAGUAAAAGCAAAUAGUUUAGCAAUCGCUGGUUAUGAUGUUUUGGGACGAGUGACGAGCGAUGGUCAGCCUAUCACAGGAGUCAGUUUUGUUCUCUUUUCCAAAGAAAAAAAUCUUUCCGUCGAUGGAUGUGAAACAUCCACCCUUCCUGGAUUCACGGGAGACGGCCUUUCCCUUGAAGGAUUGUCAUACGUUUGCCAUGUAUUGUCAAAUGACAAAGGGAUUUUUACUUUUCCACAACUCUCCCCUGGCUCCUAUGUCCUCGUUCCACAUUACAAAGGUUCGAAAAGCACAAAGUUCGACGUCCAUCCACGCACUUUGCCUUUUGCUUUGGAACAUGGCAGCGUUGAACUUCCUGUCACAUUUCAAGUCAAAGGCUUUACUGUAAGUGGAAGGGUUUUAUGGGGUCCUGACGGAAAGCCCAUGAGCGGGGCCAAGGUGUCACUAAACGGUAAAGUUGUUUUUCAAACUUCUGCAGAUGGCGUGUACAACUUGGAAAGCAUGAGGGCUGGCACUUAUAAAAUUAAUGUACAAGCGCCGAAUGUUGUUUUCGAGGAGAAGGAAAUCAAAGUUUCAUCUACAAUGUUGCCUGAUCUGUUUCCGAAAAGCUACCAGGUGUGUGGCAACCUGCAUUCUCCGACUAGUUCCGGCCCAUACAACGUAGACGUUGUAUCUGAAUCUGGUGUGAAAACAGCGAUUUCUACUGAUUCCAAGGGCAGCUAUUGUUUGUUUUUAACACCGGGGAAAUACACCUUUUCACCGGUGAUCGGACGUGCUCAAAUCAAUCACGGGCUCAUGUUUUCUCCAGCAUCUAGGGAAGUUGUUGUUUCUGAUAACGUCUUAAACAAUAUCAAUUUUUCUCAACUUAAAUGUACAGUAAAGGGGAAAAUAGUCUGCAUGUCUGUUUGCCCUCUUAUAACUAUUAACUUAAAGCCUAAAAGUGUAGGAGGAGCACUUCAAACUAUUGCCAAAGGUGGUGUUUAUGAGUUCACUGAUGUAAUGCCUGGUGAUUAUGAUGUUUAUAUUGAACCUGGGCUUGGAUGGUGUUGGGACAAAGAAUCUUUAUCCCUUAAUGUUUUCGAUGAGACUACUGUAGUGCCAACGUUCACACAGUCCGGUUUCACCGUGACUAUUAUAUCUUCUCAUAGCACAAAAGUUGUUUAUUAUAGUGAGAGUGAUUCAAAAGACAAACAGGAUUUGAAUGUAGGACCGGGAAGUACUCAUAUAUGUGUGCCGAAAGCUACGCCGUAUAUUUUCGAACCGGUCGGUUGCCACGGUUAUGAAGAACCGAGAGUCAAAUGGAUUACGGGAAGCGUAUCUCUUACGGCUAUCAACCAUGCCAAUACUUUUUACAUCGAGUCGACUGAUGUAAUAGACGACCUUGUUUUAGAAGUUUUCUCUGAAAACAAAUUGAUUAAUAAGGUUGUGCCGAAAGUGAGCACAAGAGGUAAAGACAGUGUAAAGUAUGAAACUACCCUGCAAUUAAAAGAAGAUGAAGUUGUUACGCUUGUCGCUAAAGCAGGGUUGUUUUUAUUCAACCCGCUUUCGUAUAAGCUCAAAGGAGGCGCGGAUUGCGUAAAUACAACUCAUCCCGUCUUUACGGCUGAAAAGGGACAAGUUAUUAAAGGAAAAAUCACGACAGGGAAGAAUAAAGGUUUAGGGGAUGUAGUUGUCCAAAUAACGGAUGAAUCUGGCGAAGUAAUCGCCACGCAAAAAUCGUCCGGAGAUGGAACAUACAUUUUCCCUCCGAUUAAAAUUGUGCCUAAUUUUAAGAUAAUUCCUGAAAAAGAAGGCUAUGUUUUAACAGCGCUUGAAAAACUAGGAGAUUUCAGUGCUCAUAAAUUAGCAGAAAUUAUUGUAAAAGUCAAAGAUGCAAAUACUAGUGAAUUUCUUCAAGGAGUUCUUUUAUCAUUGUCCGGUGGUGAAAGUUAUAGAAGAAACGCCCAGACGAAUGUCAACGGUACGAUGUCUUUCUUGUCGUUAAGCCCCGGCGAAUAUUUCCUCAGGCCUAUGAUGAAGGAAUACAAAUUCCAUCCGACAAGUAAAAUGAUUAAAGUUAACGAAGGCUCGACAGUAGAGAUUUCUUUAAGUGGGGAACGGGUCGCAUACAGCGGCAUAGGCGAGGUGACAUCGCUGAAUGGAGAAGGCGAAUCUGGAGUCGUCGUUGAAGCGAUUGGGCUUGGAAGUUGCAAUCUUUUACAAGAAGAAGCUACUUCAGGUGAUGUUGGUGUGUUCCGGAUCCGAGGAUUAAAACCAAAGUGCAAAUAUAAUGUAAGAGUGAAACAAGACGUUGAUGUAAACCACCAUAUUCACACAUCUAUGCCUGAUAAUAUCACAAUUGAGGUUGACAAUUCUGAUGUAUCAGGGAUUAGGUUAUAUGCAAUGAGACCUAGUACUAGGAUUGAUGUUGCUGUUUAUGUCGUUCCGGACAACCCUGAAGAUUUGAAGACUUUAAAAGUUCGCCUUAGUCGCGAGGAAUCACCAGACGCCGCGGUACAUGUUGCCAAACUGGCUGAUUUCAAGCCAAGCCCCAGUGGAUACAGCGUCGACAGCAUGUUGAUCACCAUGCCUCCCAUCCUAGCCGACGGAAGGGGCUACAUAUUACAACUGGAGUCUUCGCUUUCCCAGGCGACGCACGAAUACGUAAACAGGCCGAUACAUUUCAAAGCGGCGGGUUCUUUUAAGUUAUUCAGGCUGCCUUUUUCACCCAAGAUCAAAUCCAGAGAUGCAGAACUUUCUCAAUCAUCUUACCUCAUCCUUCCAUUGAUUCUCAUGAUCACUUUUGCAUAUUAUAACAAAGAUCUUUUAGUUUCUGUAAUUAAAUUAGUCCUGCAAAAAGUAAAAGUUACGACGACUUUGAAUAAACAACAUUCUGAUGAUUCUUCAUCAGAACCUUUUACCGAUUAUCCUAAAAAGAAGUCUAAAUCAAGAAAAACAUAAAUUUUUCCUGUAUUUUCUUUUCUUUUGGAGAGUUUAUUCAUUAUUUAAAGUUUUUUUGUGAAGUUUUAAAUUAUUGUUUUGUAAAUCUAGUCCUCAGGCAUUAGGUUGUAUAAAUUUCAAUUUUGUUUUCUUUAAUUUUUUUUUGUGUGUGAAAACAUGUCAACAGAAAUUACAACCAUCGAGAUUUACAUUCCUACAACCUCAUUCCUUGAACUUCAUUUAAAUAGAACAUUGUUUUUGUUGGAUCCUUUAUUGAUAUUUAUAGUUUACAAGUUGGUUACAUUCUUGAGGUGCGUCGGUGGAAGAUGCAAUAGUUACAGCUUUGAAACGGUGGAACAUAUUGGCUUUUUUCCCAAAAACAGUGUAGCCCGGGGGUUAUGGAUUGACCUCUAUAGUUGAGAACCUCAGUAAAUAAAUAAAUAAAGUUUGUUAUCCUAGUGACAUGACUCAUUAACUAUAACAUAACAUUUUUAUGUAUAUGAAUAAUAAAAUAUGUACAUAUUUGCUAAGAGAAACUUUGGCAAAAUA
RNAcentral lists this unclassified non-coding RNA (4163 nucleotides) under Cimex lectularius (bed bug). Its description in RNAcentral is "nodal modulator 1, transcript variant X2". Lineage: Eukaryota; Metazoa; Arthropoda; Insecta; Hemiptera; Cimicidae. The record is from RNAcentral.